UGUAUAUAUAUAGUAUAUAUAUAUAUAAAUUUGUGUCUAUAUAUAUAUAUUAAUUUGUAUAUAAUAAAUUUGUGUGUAUAUAAUAUAAAUUUGUGUGUGAGCACGUGUGUGUGUGUAUGCAUUGCUAUGUGGAUACUGGGUUUUAUCUCACUGCUGCACCUUGGGCAAGUAUCUUUUAAUAGCCUUGGACUGGCUGAUGACUUGUGAUUGAAGUUUGGUAGUGGGUGGAGGAAAAUUUUGCUGAGUCCUGUGCGUUUAUAUUUUGGCACCACUCUGAAGACUGGUGCUGUUGCUUGUGCCCCUUUUUUAUGUCCCAUAAUGUUGCAGUUUGACAGAAUUGAUUAAAAAGCUGCUGGUGUUAAUACCAUUACUUAUAACCCCUUGAAGACGGUACCUCAACAGGGCUGCAGUUAAGACUGGAACCAGUACAAGAAUGUCUUUGUGUGUAUAUAUGUAUAUACAUAUAUCUCAAGAGUAUGUAUAUUUAAUUUUAUUAUACUUUGUGCAUACUUUGUAUCUGCGUACAUAGACUGCAUAUUGAUUUGUUUGGUUCAUUUUUGUUAUUUCUUAAUAUUUUCAGUAACCUGCUUUAAUGGUUAAGUUUUUUUUUGUAUAUUACACCCUCCCUUCUUUCUUUCCUCCCAUCUCUUUAAUGAUAAAGAAAUAAAUUAGGUAUUUAUUGCUCUUGAUCUAUUGUGUGAGAGUUUUUUUUUUCUCUUUUAUGUGUAUCAUCAUUAUCAUCGAUUUAACUGCCACUUUUUCGUACUUGAGUGGCUUUGAUGGUAUUUGCUGAAGUACAUUCUCUUCGGUCAGAUGACCUUCAUGUUGCCAAAUAUCACCAGUUUCCCCAUUUGGCUCGACAUGUUUUUCAUGAAAGAUUGAAAAUAAGGGACACCACUUGGCUGACAACUAUGUUGCGAUGUGAAAACCAGGGGAGACAAACACCCACAUACACAGCUGGGGGUUCAUUUAAGUUUCGUCUGUCAAAUCUACUCAAGGAUUUGGUUGGCCUGGAGCUAUAGUACAAGACACUUAAUGUACUGUGCAAUGAGACUGUGCCCUAUACUGUUUGUUUGGGAAGCAUCUUGUGAAUCCCACAGCCGUCCUUGCACUUGAAUAUUUUCCUUCCCAGUAGGGGAUCGAACAGGUCUGCUGCUCCACAAGCAGAAAUAUUUAUCCUCUCUACCUAGGAACAUUUUUCUAUUCAAAGCCACGGUUUCAGCCUGACUACCUGCUGACGUUUUACACAGCUGAAUUUCACGUUGUUAGUCUCGUGUCUCAAGAUCCUCGUUCAGUCAAUAUCGGUCAGCCAGCUUGAAGAAUAAAAGAUUCUACAAUAUUUCUUAUUUGAUGCAGCACGGAACUUUGUCAGCGAACAGGUCGUGGUCUCAAAGCGAAAAUAUCUUGACAAAUUAAAUUUAAAUGUUGAAGUGAA
This is a long non-coding RNA of Octopus sinensis (East Asian common octopus), 1435 nucleotides long. RefSeq lists it as uncharacterized. The transcript is spliced from 2 exons. NCBI's taxonomy places the organism in Eukaryota, Metazoa, Mollusca, Cephalopoda, Octopoda, Octopodidae. The record is from RefSeq and is a predicted model, not a curated record.